GCAAACUUGGUCAUUUAGAGGAAGUAAAAGUCGUAACAAGGUUUCCGUAGGUGAACCUGCGGAAGGAUCAUUAACGAAUUGCGUUCGGGGUUGUUGCUGGUUUUCUUUGAAACGGGAAAGCACGUGCACGCCUCGCAAUCCAUUUCAAACCACACUUGUGCACUUCAGAGGGAGGCCUCUCCCGGUCUCUCCUCUUUCAUCACUAUAAACCACCUUUAAAGUCCUUUGUAUUUUUUGGUUAAUUAUAAUUGAAAUACAACUUUCAACAACGGAUCUCUUGGCUCUCGCAUCGAUGAAGAACGCAGC
RNAcentral lists this unclassified non-coding RNA (306 nucleotides) under uncultured fungus. RNAcentral describes it as "partial contains small subunit ribosomal RNA, internal transcribed spacer 1, and 5.8S ribosomal RNA". The stretch from base 1 to 73 matches the Rfam family "Eukaryotic small subunit ribosomal RNA", at positions 1759 to 1831 of the family's 1831-position model. Lineage: Eukaryota; Fungi. The record is from RNAcentral.